This 422-nucleotide ribosomal RNA is filed under the name uncultured bacterium. RNAcentral's name for it is "bacterial SSU rRNA". It matches the Rfam family "Bacterial small subunit ribosomal RNA", at positions 355 to 774 of the family's 1533-position model. The record is from RNAcentral.
UAAGGAAUAUUGGUCAAUGGACGCAAGUCUGAACCAGCCAUGCCGCGUGGAGGAUGAAGGUCCUCUGGAUUGUAAACUUCUUUUAUCUGGGACGAAACACUUCUUUUCUAAGAGGCCUGACGGUACCAGAUGAAUAAGCACCGGCUAACUCCGUGCCAGCAGCCGCGGUAAUACGGAGGGUGCAAGCGUUAUCCGGAUUCACUGGGUUUAAAGGGUGCGUAGGUGGGUAUGUAAGUCAGUGGUGAAAUCCCCGAGCUUAACUUGGGAACUGCCAGUGAUACUAUAUAUCUUGAAUACCGUAGAGGUAAGCGGAAUAUGUCAUGUAGCGGUGAAAUGCUUAGAUAUGACAUGGAACACCAAUUGCGAAGGCAGCUUACUAUGCGGUGAUUGACACUGAGGCACGAAAGCGUGGGUAGCAAACA